GUGGCAUAUAUCAGUGCACUUUAAUUGAAAAUAUGUGUAUAUAAUAGCGAAAAAGGUGUAAUUUCAUAUAUCAUUUGAGAGCAAAUUAUUGACUAAUACACAAAAUGUGACGGAAGGCAAGUGAUUGAGUUCCGUGUUGAAAUUGAAGAUAUUUACUCCAUUCUUUUUCCAUUGAUUUCUUAAGGUUUUUUCAUAUUUUGGCUCCGAAAUUUUUAUCACUAAUUAGUUUUAUUAAAUAUUAUAUGCUUAAAAU
RNAcentral lists this long non-coding RNA (253 nucleotides) under Mytilus galloprovincialis (Mediterranean mussel). The record is from RNAcentral. Lineage: Eukaryota; Metazoa; Mollusca; Bivalvia; Mytilida; Mytilidae.